GGCAGCAUAGUGUAGUGGUUUGAGCAGUGGACUGUGACUCUGGAGACCAGGGUUUGAAUCCCUGUUCGGAUA
Molecule: non-coding RNA, 72 nt
Organism: Phrynosoma platyrhinos (Desert horned lizard)
Lineage: Eukaryota; Metazoa; Chordata; Lepidosauria; Squamata; Phrynosomatidae
Source: the annotation of a GenBank genome assembly